RNAcentral lists this ribosomal RNA (491 nucleotides) under uncultured Proteiniphilum sp. Its description in RNAcentral is "bacterial SSU rRNA". It matches the Rfam family "Bacterial small subunit ribosomal RNA", at positions 891 to 1382 of the family's 1533-position model. Lineage: Bacteria; Pseudomonadati; Bacteroidota; Bacteroidia; Bacteroidales; Dysgonomonadaceae. The record is from RNAcentral.
GCUCAGCAACUCAAAGGAAUUGACGGGGGCCCGCACAAGCGGAGGAACAUGUGGUUUAAUUCGAUGAUACGCGAGGAACCUUACCCGGGCUUGAAAUGCAUCUGACCGGCCUUGAAAGAGGCACUCCCUUCGGGGCAGAUGUGUAGGUGCUGCAUGGUUGUCGUCAGCUCGUGCCGUGAGGUGUCGGCUUAAGUGCCAUAACGAGCGCAACCCUCAUCAUUAGUUACCAUCAGGUAAGGCUGGGGACUCUAAUGAGACUGCCAUCGUAAGAUGUGAGGAAGGUGGGGAUGACGUCAAAUCAGCACGGCCCUUACGUCCGGGGCGACACACGUGUUACAAUGGGUGGUACAAAGGGCAGCUACCUGGCGACAGGAUGCUAAUCUCGAAAACCGCUCUCAGUUCGGAUCGGAGUCUGCAACUCGACUCCGUGAAGCUGGAUUCGCUAGUAAUCGCGCAUCAGCCACGGCGCGGUGAAUACGUUCCCGGGCCUU